GAUGAACGCUAGCUACAGGCUUAACACAUGCAAGUCGAGGGGAAACGGCAUUGAGUGCUUGCACUCUUUGGACGUCGACCGGCGCACGGGUGAGUAACGCGUAUCCAACCUUCCCAUUACUGUGGGAUAACCUGCCGAAAGGCAGACUAAUACCGCAUAGUCUUCGAUGACGGCAUCAGAUUUGAAGUAAAGAUUUAUCGGUAAUGGAUGGGGAUGCGUCUGAUUAGCUUGUUGGCGGGGUAACGGCCCACCAAGGCAACGAUCAGUAGGGGUUCUGAGAGGAAGGUCCCCCACAUUGGAACUGAGACACGGUCCAAACUCCUACGGGAGGCAGCAGUGAGGAAUAUUGGUCAAUGGACGGAAGUCUGAACCAGCCAAGCAGCGUGCAGGAUGACGGCCCUAUGGGUUGUAAACUGCUUUUGUAUGGGGAUAAAGUUAGGGACGUGUCCCUAUUUGCAGGUACCAUACGAAUAAGGACCGGCUAAUUCCGUGCCAGCAGCCGCGGUAAUACGGAAGGUCCAGGCGUUAUCCGGAUUUAUUGGGUUUAAAGGGAGCGUAGGCUGGAGAUUAAGUGUGUUGUGAAAUGUAGACGCUCAACGUCUGACUUGCAGCGCAUACUGGUUUCCUUGAGUACGCACAACGUUGGCGGAAUUCGUCGUGUAGCGGUGAAAUGCUUAGAUAUGACGAAGAACUCCGAUUGCGAAGGCAGCUGACGGGAGCGCAACUGACGCUUAAGCUCGAAGGUGCGGGUAUCAAACAGG
Molecule: ribosomal RNA, 761 nt
Filed under: Prevotella melaninogenica
Lineage: Bacteria; Pseudomonadati; Bacteroidota; Bacteroidia; Bacteroidales; Prevotellaceae
Description: bacterial SSU rRNA
Rfam family: Bacterial small subunit ribosomal RNA
Source: RNAcentral